UUGAUGGAGAGUUUGAUCCUGGCUCAGGACGAACGCUGGCGGCGGGCCUUAUGCAUGCAAGUCGAACGCACUCGACCUUCGGGUCAUAUGAGUGAGUGGCGAACGGGUGAGUAACACGUGAGAAACCUGCCCCGAAGACUGGAAUAACCCGGGGAAACUCGGGCUAAUACCGGAUACCCCCAACUAAUCGCAUGGUUAGUUGAGGAAAUGCUCCGGCGCUUCGGGAGGGUCUCGCGGCCUAUCAGCUAGUUGGUGAGGUAACGGCUCACCAAGGCAACGACGGGUAGCUGGUCUGAGAG
This 299-nucleotide non-coding RNA is filed under the name marine actinobacterium MedAcidi-G2B. RNAcentral's name for it is "partial 16S ribosomal RNA". It matches the Rfam family "Bacterial small subunit ribosomal RNA", at positions 1 to 298 of the family's 1533-position model. The record is from RNAcentral. Lineage: Bacteria; Bacillati; Actinomycetota; Actinomycetes.